CCUACGGGAGGCAGCAGUAAGGAAUAUUGGACAAUGGGCGCAAGCCUGAUCCAGCCAUGCCGCGUGCAGGAUGACGGUCCUAUGGAUUGUAAACUGCUUUUGUACAGGAAGAAACACUCCCUCGUGAGGGAGCUUGACGGUACUGUAAGAGUAAGGAUCGGCUAACUCCGUGCCAGCAGCCGCGGUAAU
RNAcentral lists this ribosomal RNA (189 nucleotides) under uncultured bacterium. RNAcentral's name for it is "partial 16S ribosomal RNA". It matches the Rfam family "Bacterial small subunit ribosomal RNA", at positions 338 to 524 of the family's 1533-position model. The record is from RNAcentral.